GCACCUCUCAGGGAUGGGGCAUGAUUGCUCGGUAUUAUACAACAAAUUCUAAAGUUGAAAUCGAGGCUACCGUACGGAAGGUGGUCAGGCAUAUAUUAUUAUGUAAUCUAGGUGAGUAUUUUGGUGAGAGGUGUUCAGAAAGGACCGAGGUCAGUAGAAGAUGGCGAAGAAAGUCAUGUGUCUCAUUGCUACAGUUUCCGCGAAAUGGUCGAAAAUCUGGGACUGAAAUUGGCAUCGAUUUGUUAUGCAAUGCAUUUGCCAGUAAACAGGUGGUGAGAGUUUUGCUCCAGCUGCGAACUUGUCUUCCACCUUAAAUGAUGUGAGGACAUUUUGGCAGUGACUCGACCGUGCACGAGAAGAUGAAAUACGUUUUCCAUCUGCAGACUAACUAGUUGAAAGUCCCACUUGAAAGCAAGCCUGGAUUUAAUUGCUCACCCCUGCUGGGACGGCGCACAUGGGAGGCAGGGAAUCCAUUGUCAAGUGCAAUGAUCUUAAAUAGUCCGCGGAUCAACUAGUUGUGAACGCCAUCUAAUUCUAUUCUUAGCGUUCAGCCCUGGUUUACUACUGUACAUAUGUACGUAUGUUACCAAGUUGUUGUACAGUACUCUUCCCGCUCAUGGCGUUUAAAUGGUAAUUUGUUGAUGCAUUUGCUAAGGUGUGGGUACACGUCACGGACAUGAAAACGACUUUUUAAAAGUUCUCUUUUAAUACGAAUAUUGCCAAUACAAAAAGCGACUUGCUUUAUUGAUGUUCUAAAUCGAUUGUGUUUAUUGUCAAAUUAUCACCAAGUAGUGUUCAAGAAGAGUACUUUGCUACACGUACAUAUAGUAGUAGUUUAUUUCCAUGUAGGUGUGGCAACAUAAACAACAAUGCACAGUAGUUGUAGGAUGACCGGUUUUCUUUUUGAUAGUAACAUAUUUGUGAGGGCAAAUCUGCAACUUGGCAUGCACCAUGAACAAUUAUUUAUUUGAAAUUGAAUCCUAAUAUUUGUUUACUUUUGAAAAGAAAGAAAACGUCCCAAUCGUGUAAAAUGCAUUUAUGGAAGUCUUUGGAAGUUAUAGUGUGUGUUCAGUUGAAGAAAAAAGAACGAGAUGUGCAUCCACCAAAAAUUAAUUAAUCGCUGUAAUUUUGAUAAUUAUGUUUCAGAAAUUGCAGCAUUAUCAAACUGGCAGAAUGUGACAUUAGUAUUGCAGAACUGUCCACAUGUAUUGAAACGAUCUUUCUUAAGUUUGAAUGUGCGAUUGUGACGCAUACAAUAUAAAAUAAACUUCGUGUUUCAGUGAUGGGGGG
Molecule: long non-coding RNA, 1290 nt
Organism: Lingula anatina
Lineage: Eukaryota; Metazoa; Brachiopoda; Lingulata; Lingulida; Lingulidae
Source: RefSeq, a predicted model, not a curated record